RNAcentral lists this long non-coding RNA (10791 nucleotides) under Physcomitrium patens. RNAcentral's name for it is "long non-coding RNA (PPAT_LNC007562)". Lineage: Eukaryota; Viridiplantae; Streptophyta; Bryopsida; Funariales; Funariaceae. The record is from RNAcentral.
AGAUACUUAGUUUAUAGUGUAAACAGGGAUAAAUGACUGUUGAAAAGGUAGUUCAGUAGGUAAAAUGGAUGAAUAGUUAGGAAAAGCAGUUUUCAUUAGAGAUGUAGCAGUUUGUAUCUCGUGGUAGCAUAAGGAGGAUGGAAGAGAGGAAGUAGGGGCCAUUACUAUGAUAGUGUGAGCCGGGGUAAGCUUGGUGCUACCUCUUUUCUUUUGUUGUUAUGUUCUUUGAAAUAAGAGUAUUGAGAGUUUCUGAAUAUUGUGAAGUGAAUCAUGGAAUGAAAGUGUAAAUGAAAUUAUAUGUUAUUGAAUGAGAAGAAGAGAGAUUGAAUGGUGAAAUCUGAAUAUAGUUCAGCAGAAAGAGUGAAUCUGUGGUUGUGUGAAACACUAUAAUGUGAAUGGUAGUUAUGUGUGAAGAAUUCCAGUAAUUGGAAUGAGGGUAAUUGUGUGCUGAAACUGUGAUGUUGCGGUAUUAGAGUUGGAGAUUAUAAGAGUGAAGAUAUAUUGGUGGAAAUAACAGUUAUUGGUAUGACUGAAUUGUUGUAAGGAAGAGAUUGAUAAGGUGAAAUGAGAGAUUAUAGUUUCUUUGUGUGCUUAGACAAUGGAAAUAGAGACGAUACAUUGGAGGUAAUUAAUUGUGUGACUCUAACGUGAACGCUCAAGCAACUAGUCACUCCCCGUGUUCGAAUUCUCCUAUACAUGUUUAUUCUGGGAGGUUUCUUUCGGAAUAAGUAAAACAACCAACCACAUUUUGGCGCCACUGCCGGGGAGUGAUAAUAGCUUUGAGCGUUAGGAAUUAAUUACAAAUGUGUGAGAAAAUGGGCAAUGGAAGACGAUUUCAGUAGUGUUUGAAGAAAGAUUAUGGUUAAUAAGAACGAGAGCAUUGCAUCGAGGAAAAUAAAUCAGUUGAGAGAAAGACAGGGAAGAACGCAAGGAAGGAACUUGCGUAGAGAGGAGCAAGAACUUAAUCUUAAAAGGAAGCAUCGACAAAAUUGGAUUAAACCAUGGUUGCAAGCUUGUUGGCGCAUCCGAACAUAUCAAGAACCGGACAGACUAUUAAUUCUGCAGUCUUAUGUACCGUUAGAAAAACUGCCAAGAGCACUCGCGGAAAAUUUUGUUAACAUUCCAGUAGAAAUCUUGAGGUCGUUAACUAAAAGAGAAGGAGGCAUAGAAGUAUUUGGUACUCCAUUGGGUAAUUUUUCAGUAGGGGGUACCGCUGAAACGAGCAAUAGAGGCUCUGCAGAUUGGCAUGAAUUGGUCACCAAUAAAGGCAAUUAUAUCGUAUUUCAAAAUCUGACUAUUUCACUUGCAAGUCAACCAACAAAACUAUUUGCGGAGAAUAACAGUAAAGCAAGGACCGUUGAAAGCUCGGUAAUUAGAGUAAGGAAAAGCAAAGAUUAUUUUAAAACAAAUUUCAGAGGAACAAAAAAUUCAAUGGCAGCAGGAGGACCAGCCGUUCCAAUUGCAGUUCAAAUAGGUACCUUGGGCGAUCGUACGACUAGCGUCGCACCAUUACCUACUUUUCGUGGUUUGCCAGGUGCGGAUCCAGAUCAACAUUUGUCUCAAUUCUUGACAGCGUGUGUAGCCAAUAAUGGAAGGACAGAAGACAUUUGGCUGAGAUGGUUGCCAGCAACACUAAAAGACAUAAUGUUCGAGUGGUAUAACUGCCAACCUGUAGGUCAAUUUAUCAAUUGGGAGGCAUUGAAAACGGCAUUUUUAGCCCAUUUUCGACCAAUUGGUUUUGAAGAACGUCUUUGAGAAAGAUUAAUGAAUAGCAGAAUGGUACCAGGGGAAGUAGUACAAUCAUAUUAUGGUCGUGUAGCAGAUAUACUUCGGAAAUGGCCAAAUAACCAAAUGUCAGAAUCGUUUGUGUUGUCCAUAUUGGUUAAUGGAUUACACCCACCAGAAUUGAAGUUGUUUGUAAAGGAGGCCCAAUCAGCUACCAUUGUAGCAUCUCUUGAGCGAGCAAAAGUAUGGGAGGAAUGUCAUUACGACCAGCACUUAACCGUUGGCGCCACGAUGAUUCCAUCACAAGGCGGUUAUCAAAUGACAAAUUGGAAUGACGCAUCAGAAAGUUAUCUGGAAACGAGUGAUUAUGGUACAAUUCCACAGGGAAUAGUGAAUGCUGUUCCAUUGCAGGCUGCACUACCAUCAUCGUCACAAUCGUAUGUGCCUUAUUCCACGUAUCAAAAAUCAAUACCUAUGAGGGAAUUGACCAAUGAAUUGGUAUCAAGGGAUCCCAAUGAGUCAUUGUUGUUAACAUUAACAAAGAAAAUGGAUGAAUUGGUUGUGAAUCUGGCCAAGGAUAAAGAAAAAAGGCAUAAACCGACCAAUAUGCGACCCAAUGUUUGGUGUAGCAAUUGUAAGGGACAAGGUCAUUUGGUAACCAAAUGUUCUUCACCACCCCAAAUGAUGGUUCUAUGUACCUUUUGUGGGGGUAAGCAUACCACUGUCAAUUGUUGGAACUUAAGGAAACAACAACAAGUCGGACAACAGACCAUGAGUCAACCAACUUCGUGGGAUGUAAAUCAAGUACAAACGAAUAAUAAGUUCGGCUGGAAUGGAAAUCGAGCGAAUAAACAAAACAAGAAUUAUUCCAAUUUUCAAAACUCUGAAUUUCACCAAGAAGGUGUAUCCAAUACCCAUGGCUUGGGGCUGAAUCAGCAAGGAUAUCAUCAAUAUUCAACCAUGCAGAAGCUAAUGCCAGAAUCUACAGUACCAAUGGAUCAACCAGGAUCCUUCACUCAACCGACAUGGAAUAGACCGAGCCGUUAUAUAUCAGUAGAGACACCCAAUAUUCCUGAAGGAGCUGGCAGAAGACCACUUCGUUGCUAUCGGUGCAGACAAAUCGGACAUUAUGCGAGUGAAUGUCCUAAUCCAAGAGCAAGUGAUGAUUAUGCCCCAAUAUGUGGAAAUUGUAAGCAGUCUGGUCAUACUUAUGAGCAGUGCAACGCGGCAUUUAAUUAUAAUAACCAUGACCAGCAGAUGCAAACAAGCCAGCCAGCAGAGGACAAAGGUCCUGUUCAACGGGACUCACCAGUACAUCGCGUCGAGGUGGUGAACGCAGUGCUUACCAGGGGCCAACAAAAAGGCAAGAAUCCAAUUCAGGACCUGGAUGACCCAAUCGAAGUAACAACAGUAGCGCCAUCCAUGAGGUGAACUAAACCAAUACCAGUAUUGGACCGUAUUCCAAUAUUGGGACCUCAACAGGACGAGGAACCCAAUUCAGUUUCACGUGCCAAUUUUUCGGGGACAUGAAGAUCAAUUCCAAAUGACCCCGUCCCAAUACCCGCACAACCCAAUAUAAGCUCGUACCCAUUGAAGGAACCUUUAGUAGUCGAAGAGUCGACUAAGAGGAAGGAAUUGCUGCCGAACAGAGUCAAAACGAAACCAAUGAAACGUAAAAGAGCAUUGGGAGUUACUCUCAAUAUGCAACCCUAUGACAUUUUGAAGGAUUUGGAUAUUAUCCAGCCUUCAAUUACAAUGAAGCAACUUUUGGCUGUAGCACCGGAAUGUCGAUCAACAUUGAAUUCAGUGUUAAUACGGCGAAGAUCCCGCACUAGAGAAAUACAUGAAGUUAGCUUAAACCCGGAUCCGGGAGCACCAACAAUCGAUGUAUCAAUCGAUGGAGUUUUAAUUCCAGGGGUACACGUCGAUGGUGGCUCCAAUGUGAAUUUAAUGAACGUUGAUACAAUGGAAGACUUGGAUCUAAAGCAAUUGCUCCCUACGACAUUAGUUUUGCGAAUGGCAGAUCAUAGUGCGGUUAAGCCGAUGGGAAUCUUACGCGAUAUUGCCACUGUAAUCGUGGGAUUGACAUAUAAAAUUAACUAUGUUGUAUUUCAGUUACAAAGUUCUACGUUAUCGUAUCCCAUUUUAUUGGACAAACCUUGGUUAUAUCAAGCCAAGGCUAAGAAGGAUUGGGGCCGCGGCACAUUGACAAUUGGAAAAGACAGUGACCAGAUUGUUCUACAAAUGUACCCGGUACAAUAUCACAGAGAAACCCCAUUGCCCGAAUCAGAAUUUACAUCGGAUAACGAGAGUCACUCGAUUGAGGAAGAUGACGAUGCUAUAGUUUCACCGUAAUUUGGGGCAGGUCAAACCCCUUCAACAAUCAAGGGCGGAGUCUACCAAUGUGGUGGCCCCGGUGAAUAUUUACUACAUCAGGAGGAUGCCUCUAACUCGGAUCAUAUUAUUACCGAAUGGAUGACCCGAUAUGAUGUCAAUCAUGUGAGUGCAAUGCGGUUAGACAUGAGUCACCAGCAGUUACAGCCUCCUUCGCAUGACGACGAGCCAACAGGCGAUUUUAAAUCGGGUUUAAAUCGGUGGCUGUGGAAGAACCUGUUUUCUAGACUCUGAACUUAGGCACCCCUGACGUGCCCCAGAAUAUAAAGAUAUACAAGGAUAUUCAAGGUAACGAAUUGAGUCAAUGGAAAGCAUUCUUCCUCCGACAUAAAUCAUCCUUUGCUUGGAUGUAUGUAGAUCUGAAGGAUAUUCCAGAAACGGUGUGUAAACAUCGUAUUAUAUUGGUUCCGGAUGCUACACCAGUUCGUCAAAGACAACACCGUCUCAACCCAAAAUAUUCCUUAAUGGUAAAAGAGGAAUUAGACAAAUUAUUGCACGUGGGAUUCAUUUAUCCGGUUCCGUAUAGCGAAUGAGUCUCACCAAUGGUAAUGGUACCUAAGAAAAAUGGCAAGAUUAGAAUUUUUCAAGAUUUUUGGAAACUCAAUGCUGCUACCAAGAAGGACUAUUUUCCUCUACCUUUUACGGAUAGUAUAUUGGAUGCCGUAGCAGGACACGAAUGUUAUUCAUUUUUGGAUGAUUUUUCGGGCUACAAUCAAGUCAAAAUUGCUAAGGAAGAUCAGUCCAAGACUACUUUUACGACAGAUUGGGGUACAUUUGCAUACAAAGUGAUGCCAUUUGGAUUAUGCAAUGCACCAGCCACAUUUCAAAGAGUGAUGACACAGGCCUUUCAAGGUUAUUUACGAGUGUCAAUGGAAAUAUUCUUAGAUGAUUUUUACACGUUCAGUACGACAGAUGACCCGAUAUGAUGUCAAUUAUUUGAACUGCUUGGGACGAUGUCUGGACCAAUGCGAUAUAUCGUUGAAUUCAGAGAAGUGUCAAUUUGGGGUCCCCUCUGGAAGACUCUUGGACCACAUAGUGUCCAGCCGCGGUAUUGCUACGGACCCAGAUAAAGUAACUCGAAUAUUGGCUUUACCAAAGCCAGAAACGGUGUCAGAAGUACGUGGCUUUGUAGGCCAUGUCAGCUAUUAUCGGUGUUUUAUUCACUCCUUUGUGGUACUAUGUCAGCCAUUGACAAAUUUGCUAAAGAAACCACUAUUGGAUGGAUCUAGUCCCAUUUGGACGAAAGAAUGCAGUGUUGCCUUUGAGGCCUUAAAGCAAAAAUUGGUGUCUGUACCAAUACUGGUUGCCUCAUGCUGGGCGAAACCAUUUCAAGUUUAUGUCGAUGCAUCCAACGUCGCGAUUGAAUCGAUAUUGAGUCAGAAGGAUGACAAUAACCGUGAACAUCCAAUAUAUUUUGCGAGUCGAAAAUUGGUUAUGGCCGAAUGUAAUUAUAAUACUACCGAGCGAGAAGCCCUCGGCAUGAUUUAUUCUGUACAAAAAUUCUGCCAUUAUCUACAGGGCUACCCGUUUGUGUUCCACGUUGAUCAUGAUGCGCUUAAGUAUAUGAUAAAUAAACCCCAAUUGAGUGGAUGAAUUGCUCGCUGGGUGUUACUUCUCCAGGAAUUCAAUUUUAUAAUUAAUGUUUGCCCUGGCAAGACACAUGCCAAUGCAGAUCACUUGUCCCAUUUAUCUAAUAUACUGGGUAAUGAGCCGAUAAACGACGCCUUUUCGGAUGCACAAUUAUUCGCUGUGGAGGUUAUUACACCCGAAUAUGGUGACCUGAUCCAAUAUCUCAUAUUUCAGACUUUUCUAAUUUCUUAUAAUGAAAAAUUAAAGAAGCGUCUCAUUAUAAGAAGUGCGCCAUAUACCAUGAUUGGAGCCGCAUUAUACAAACAAAGACGGGAUGGUAUUUUACGACGUUGCAUAUUUCCAAGUGAAGUGUGUACCAUAUUGGAAGGAUGUCAUUUGAAUAGCUGUGGAGGACAUUUUGCGGAUGAUAGCACCGCGCGUAAAGUUUUAAUGGCUGGUUAUUGGUGGCCAACAAUGUUUUCGGAUGCUCACAAAUAUGUUCGUCGUUGUGACCCUUGUCAACGAAUUGGUCGACCUACUGGAACUUCUGCAAUGCCAUUGGUACCAGUUUUGGCGCAGGCACCAUACGAAAAAUGGGAUAUUGAUUUCGCCAGACCAAUUGCACCUGUUUCUCGGAAUGGACAGAAACGUUAUAUUUUAGUAGCCACUGAUUAUGUCACCAAAUGGGCGGAGGCUACGGCAACAAAAACUGAUAAUGCCACUACUGUAGCAACAUUUUUAUAUGAGAACAUUAUCACUCGUUUUGGUUGUCCGAAAGAAUUGGUUAGUGAUCAAGGAACCCAUUUUAUUAAUGCAACCAUUGAAGCAUUGACAACGAAGUAUGAGAUCAAGCAUCGAAAAACUACCCCUUAUCAUCCACGUGCCAAUGGGCAGACCAAAAAGACCAACGGUAUCCUUUGUAAAAUCUUAACAAAGACUAUUUCAGGAGCGGGAACCGACUGAGAUACUAAAUUAUUUGCAGCAUUGUAGGCAUAUCGAACUGCGUAUAAAGUAACGACCAAUUCCACACCUUUUCAAUUGGUAUACAGGCAAGAGGCCAUCUUACCAAUAGAAUUGGAGGUUCCCAGUUUAAGAAUUGUAUUGGAAGAACGGUUGAGUAACAAAGAAUCUCUCCAAUAUCGGUUAACAAAAUUGGAAAAAUUGGAUGAGAUUAGGGCUUCGGCUUUGAUGACCAUGGAAGCUAUUCAGCACCGCCAGAAGAGUUAUUACAAUAGUAAACUCCGCACAAAAUCAUUUAUGCCCAAUGAUCUUGUCCUGCUGUACGACAGCCGUUUUCACAAUUUCCCGAAAAAAUUUCAAAUUCGGUGGCAUGGACCCUAUCGCGUAUUGGCAGCCUUUCCCAAUGGUUCCGUCCAAUUGGAAGAUUUCACGAGAACCAAAUUCACAACCCCUAUCAAUGGAAACCGACUACGCUUGUAUUAUACAUAAACCCGGGGGCGGAUUUAUCAAGAUUGGAGGGGGCAGAUGUGCCGUUCAUGAUGACUUGCCUGCCAUCAUAAGUGUCUAAUCGGAGGCAAAUGAUGGUGGUUGAUUAGUGUAUUAGAACAUCAGCAAUCAAGAUUAGGGAUUCUUGUUUCAUAACUGGUUAAACAGUUAGGAGAGGGGCACUCUGUGUAGCUGCCUUUAGUAUUUUGUUUAGAAUUGUUGAAGCAUAGUUCGUUAGUGGAGAGUUCACGGCAAAUCAUAGUAUUAGUGCGAAUACGCAGAGCUUUAUAAUGUCAAGGGAGAAGGUGAAGAGAGCCUCGGAGAAGGAGGAAGAGGGUAGAAGGGUGAGGUCAAGGAGUAAUAUGGAUGAGCUUUCUCUUUGUAUACUCACAAAUAUGGAACCCAUGCGGUUAGAAAUUUACUGGAAUGCAACGCGGCAGAAGGACUUUAGAAGUACGCAGCUAUAUCCUUUUCUGCGAGCUGCAGACAAUUUACCAUCAAUCGAUGUAGAACUAUUGGAAGAAUAUUUGACGAACUAUGAUCCUGAGGAUGGUUCGAGUUUUGUAAAAAGGAGGACUUUGGAAAUUGAUGAGAAUACCUUGCAUAAGGCAUUACAGUUACCAAUAGGAGAGUUAGCGGUUGGCGCAGAAGAGUCUUCAGACUUCAAUCCGGGGAGUUAUUUUAAAGGAGGUAUGACGUCGCUAGAAAGGAAUCAAGGAUGGCGGACGACGGAUGCACUUAUACCAGAAUUGAUGGAGUGGAUGCGCUUCAUUCAGAAGAGGUUGGGAUUAAAUAGACAUACGACGUAUAUGGCUAAACGAUUAUUAUAUGCGACAAUAGGCUCCUUCGAGGGUAUCGUGUUCAAUUGGGUAGCGUACGUGGCCACCAGAAUUUAUGCAGGGUUGAGUUACAAGCGCAGAUUAGGUAGAAUUGCAACGCUUCUGUGUUCCAAUUAUAUACAGUCUGCAAUAGUUUCUGAGUUGAAUCAAACGUUGCCAGAGAAAGGGAAGACGAUAGCAGCUCUAGUACUACCAAAACCGAGGAGCAAUUUAUUGGCACUUCCAUGGGGACCAGGAGAAACAAGCCAGCAGGCGGGAGAACCAAUCAGUGUUCAGGAGAGGGGUCCAAUUGCUCAGCGAGACAAUAGGCCAGUGGACAUUCAACAUCAAACACCAGAGGAGAAUAGUGUGAAAGAGCGAUUUUUGGUAUAAUUAUCCUAAUUGCAGCAGACGGCAAACGAAUUGAUUGAUCACAUGAAUUUUAAGCAGCAAUUGGUGGUGUGUAAGAAGAAAAUGGCAAAACAACGUCAAAAAUUGUUGGAACAAGAUCGGGUGAAUAGGGCCAACAAAGAAGCCAAUUCGAGACUGGAGCAGGCCCUUGGAGUAAAACAGCAAGCGUGGGAAAAGGAAAGAGAGCGCCUUCACCAAGGAAUGGCGCAACAGAAACAAGAACUCUCCAAUUCUCUCAAUCAAUCGAAACUGGAAGUUGAGAAAAUGAAGCAACAAUUGGAAUUGAACCAGACGAAGAUGGCGACUUUGGAACAGGAAAAGAAGACGAUGAGUGACCAAUUCAGAGUGAAAACAGAGGAAAUGCAAGGGGAGAUCAACACUCUGAAGGAGGUUGCAAAGAAAUUGGAGGAAGAAUUGGUCAGUGUUCGACGGCCACAAGGGUCAAUUGAAGGUUCAAUUGGCGAAUUGGAACAGAAGGUGAAGCAACAACAAUACCAAUUAGAGGCGAAAGAUACCCGAAUUUUAAAAUUCGAAAGUCAAGUCCGUGAAUUGGGAGCACUUAAUGAAGAUUUAAUGGCCAAAUUGAACAUAGUACCAAUAAAUGUAUCAGACGGUGUCGGGUAGAGAGAGUUUGCCUCAAGAAAGCGCUGGGCUUCUGGCUGUCACUAAAUACUCAAUCAAGUUUGAAAUAUAAGGGUAACAAUUUUAUAUAUAUAAACUCCUCUCCUUUGGAGCAAUUACAUCAAUAUGCAAGCCUUAAAAUCCAAAGAACACCAAAAUACUUGAUAAGGUGUUAUAAAAAACUUAUAUAUCCUUAUGAGGAAUUUUUCCCAAAGUUCAACAGCUCAUAACUUACGAUCUAACCGUCUAAACAACUCCAAAUUUUACAUGGAGUACUGAUAUAUCUUUAGCAACUACCACAUCAAAAUUCAACCGUAAAUUCGUCUUGGAUCUUGUGAUAUCUUGAAAACCUUAACUGUAGCUUCAAACCCUAGCUUUUUUACACCCGUGUACAACUUCCUUCAUAUCUCACAAAGUAAUUAUUCAAAUAUUAUGAAAUUUUGAUUUAAAGCUUUUUAACCCAAUUACACACACUUGUAGAAAUUUUGAACCAAAAAUUCGUCCAAAAACUCAAGAUAUGGCUUCAUCCAUAACUAGCAACAAAACGAUAUACUUACUGCCUUCAAAUUACAAGUGCUGUCUUCAACGCCUCAUAACUCCUGCACCCAAUCUUAGAAUUUACUAUACAGUAAGUAGAAUGUGUAGCCGAGAAAAUUCUCCCUCCAAAUCCAGUCGCCGAUCUUCCGUUGCUCUCCGUAUUCGUAUGUGAUGCCCAAAAGAAGUGACAGUAGGUACAAAAUUGACACCUUAUCUUUGAACAUUCAUAUCUUUUCCAAAAAAACUCGAAAUCACACAAAAUCUUCACCCAAAUUAUACCCAAAACCCUAAACCUUCUGACCUUAGCCUCAAAAGCUCGAAUGGCCUCGAAAGAGGAACCCUAAUUCCUAAUAUGGCCUCGGGCAGCCUCCUCAAAGCCCAUUGGGCAUGGUAUUCGACCAAUAGGGAUGAAGUUCUUCACCCCUUGCCUUCAUCCAACCAUGCCUUACUUUCAUCCUUCCCAAUAAGCCUCCUUCUAGUUAUAUUUUCAUCUUUUAAGUCCUCCCUUCCCUUAAUCUUUAUAAUAACUAUCUAAAUCCUAUAUAAUAUAAACUCUAUGAUCAAACUAGAUUAACUUCCAAAUAAUUUUUCUUAUUUCAAUUCAUUUUAAAUUAACAUACUAACUAUUCUAACUCACAUUAAGACUUAUAAACAUAUUACAUGUUUUCACUAAUUUUUACAUACUGUAAGUAAUUACAGUACGACAACGGGGAAGACGAAGAAGUGACUUUAGAAUUGUAAUCAGUAGCUAUGAGUAUGGGCAAUGCUAAGGAGUCAUCAGUUCUUGUUUCGAACUGGUUGUUUGCGAGGACGCUGUAUAGUUAGGAGUGGGGCUAUAUAGAAUAAGUAAUUAUUUGCUGAUUUGUAGAUACUUAGUUUAUAGUAUAAACAGGGAUAAUUGACUAUUGAAAAGGUAGUUCAGUAGGUAAAAUGGAUGAAUAGUUAGGAAAAGCAGUUUUCAUUAGACAUGUAGCGGUUGGUAUCUCGUGGUAGCAUAAGGAGGAUGGGAGAAAGGAAACAGGGGCCAUUACUGUGAUAGUGUGAGCCGGGGUAAGCUUGGUGCUACCUCUUUUCUUUUGUUGUUAUGUUCUUUGAAAUAAGAGUAUUGAGAGUUUUUGAAUAUUGUGAAGUGAAUCAUGGAAUGAAAGUGUGAAUGGAAUUAUAUGUUAUUGAAUGAGAAGAAGAGAGAUUGAAUGCUGAAAUCUGAAUGUAGUUCAGCAGAAAGAGUGAAUCUAUGGUUGUGUGAAACACUGUAAUGUGAAUGGUAGUU